CCUACGGGAGGCAGCAGUGGGGAAUAUUGCACAAUGGGGGGAACCCUGAUGCAGCGACGCCGCGUGGGUGAAGAAGCAUCUCGGCGCGUAAAGCCCUGUCAGCAGGGAAGAAAAUGACGGUACCUGAAUAAGAAGCCCCGGCUAACUACGUGCCAGCAGCCGCGGUAAUACGUAGGGGGCAAGCGUUAUCCGGAUUUACUGGGUGUAAAGGGGGCGUAGACGGCGCUGCAAGUCAGGAGUGAAAGCCCAGGGCUCAACCCUGGUACUGCUCUGGAAACUGGGUGGCUGGAGUGCAGGAGGGGCAGGCGGAAUUCCUGGUGUAGCGGUGAAAUGCGUAGAUAUUAGGAGGAACACCGGGGGCGAAGGCGGCCUGCUGGACUGUAACUGACGUUGAGGCUCGAAAGCGUGGGGAGCAAACAGGAUUAGAUACCCCAGUAGUC
Molecule: ribosomal RNA, 440 nt
Filed under: uncultured bacterium
Lineage: Bacteria
Description: partial 16S ribosomal RNA
Rfam family: Bacterial small subunit ribosomal RNA
Source: RNAcentral